RNAcentral lists this small nucleolar RNA (125 nucleotides) under Erinaceus europaeus (western European hedgehog). Its description in RNAcentral is "Small nucleolar RNA U3 (ENSEEUG00000022665.1)". The stretch from base 1 to 95 matches the Rfam family "Small nucleolar RNA U3". From Rfam's summary of the family: Small nucleolar RNAs (snoRNAs) are involved in the processing and modification of rRNA in the nucleolus. There are two main classes of snoRNAs: the box C/D class, and the box H/ACA class. The record is from RNAcentral. Lineage: Eukaryota; Metazoa; Chordata; Mammalia; Eulipotyphla; Erinaceidae.
AAGACUAUACUUUCAGGGAUCAUUUCUAUAGUUGUUUACUAGAAUACAAAUUAGAACAUUAACAACCACCUAUUUGAAAACAGGGUAUAACUGGUGCUUUAUCUUAGAACACCAGUGACCCAAGG